This 196-nucleotide non-coding RNA is filed under the name unclassified sequences. Its description in RNAcentral is "glycine-GGAnGA riboswitch aptamer". It matches the Rfam family "glycine-GGAnGA riboswitch aptamer". Rfam says of the family: glycine-GGAnGA riboswitch is a variant of glycine riboswitch that have in common a U69A change. This riboswitch is associate with genes that encode either saccharopine dehydrogenase or amino acid transporters and other genes with not predicted function. The record is from Rfam by way of RNAcentral.
UCGUAUGAAUGCUACCCUAGACGCCAUGGAAAAUGGGGCCGAAGAAGCAAACCAGAAGUUUUUAACAUCUUACUUCUGCGGAAACUGACAGGCAAAAGGAAGGUAGCAGGACGAAUCUUUGGAGAGAAUGCUUGAGGCGCCGAAGCCGCAAGCGUCACCUACGAGGCGAGAACCAACUAGGUAAAAGGACAGAGAG